UACGUAGGGUGCAAGCGUUAAUCGGAAUUACUGGGCGUAAAGCGUGCGCAGGCGGUUAUGCAAGACAGAUGGGAAAGCCCCGGGCUCAACCUGGGAAUGGCGAUGGAUACUGGCUCGCUAGAGUGCGGUAGAGGAGAGUGGAAUUCCCGGUGUAGCAGUGAAAUGCGUAGAGAUCGGGAGGAACAUCAGUUGCGAAGGCGGCUCUCUGGACCAGCACUGACACUGAGGCACGAAAGCGUGGGGAGCAAACAGG
RNAcentral lists this ribosomal RNA (253 nucleotides) under uncultured bacterium. Its description in RNAcentral is "partial 16S ribosomal RNA". It matches the Rfam family "Bacterial small subunit ribosomal RNA", at positions 524 to 776 of the family's 1533-position model. The record is from RNAcentral.